This 253-nucleotide ribosomal RNA is filed under the name uncultured bacterium. Its description in RNAcentral is "partial 16S ribosomal RNA". It matches the Rfam family "Bacterial small subunit ribosomal RNA", at positions 524 to 776 of the family's 1533-position model. The record is from RNAcentral.
UACGGAGGGUGCUAGCGUUACUCGGAAUGACUGGGCGUAAAGGGCGCGUAGGCGGACUGGCAAGUCUGGCGUGAAAUCCCAGGGCUCAACCCUGGAAGGGCGCCUGAAACGUGUAGGCUAGAGUUCCGGAGAGGAGGGGGGAAUUUCCGGUGUAGCGGUGAAAUGCGUAGAUAUUGGAAAGAAUACCGGUGGCGAAGGCGGCCACCUGGUCGUAAACUGACGCUGAGGCGCGAAAGCGUGGGGAGCAAACAGG